GGCUUUGCCUGCUAUCUCUUACCCAUGUCUUUUGAGUACCUUCGUUUCCUCGGCGGGUCCGCCCGCCGAUUGGACAAUUUAAACCAUUUGCAGUUGCAAUCAGCGUCUGAAAAAACUUAAUAGUUACAACUUUCAACAACGGAUCUCUUGGUUCUGGCAUCGAUGAAGAACGCAGCGAAAUGCGAUAAGUAGUGUGAAUUGCAGAAUUCAGUGAAUCAUCGAAUCUUUGAACGCACAUUGCGCCCCUUGGUAUUCCAUGGGGCAUGCCUGUUCGAGCGUCAUUUGUACCUUCAAGCUCUGCUUGGUGUUGGGUGUUUGUCUCGCCUCUGCGUGUAGACUCGCCUCAAAACAAUUGGCAGCCGGCGUAUUGAUUUCGGAGCGCAGUACAUCUCGCGCUUUGCACUCAGAACGACGACGUCCAAAAGUACAUUUUUACACUCUUGACCUCGGAUCAGGUAGGGAUACCCGCUGAACUUAAGCAUAUCAAUAAGCGGAGG
This 497-nucleotide ribosomal RNA is filed under the name uncultured fungus. RNAcentral's name for it is "eukaryotic LSU rRNA". The stretch from base 128 to 281 matches the Rfam family "5.8S ribosomal RNA". The record is from RNAcentral. Lineage: Eukaryota; Fungi.